CCUACGGGAGGCAGCAGUGAGGAAUAUUGGUCAAUGGCCGGAAGGCUGAACCAGCCAAGCCGCGUGAAGGACGAAGGUGCCAAGCAUUGUAAACUUCUUUUGUCAAGGGACAAAAUCAGGCUCGAGAGCCUGACCGAGGGUACUUGAAGAAAAAGCAUCGGCUAACUCCGUGCAAGCAGCCGCGGUAAUACGGAGGAUGCGAGCGUUAUCCGGAUUUAUUGGGUUUAAAGGGUGCGUGGGCGGGCUGUUAAGCCAGCGGUAAAAGCCCGGGGGUCAACCCCGGCGAGCCGUUGAGACUGGCUGUCUUGAGAUGUCGAGAGGUAUGCGGAAUGCGCAGUGUAGCAGUGAAAUGCUUAGAUAUUGCGCAGAACUCCGAUUGCGAAGGCAGCAUACCGGCGGCGAUCUGACGCUGAGGCACGAAAGCGUGGGUAUCGAACAGGAUUAGAUACCCGGGUAGUC
This 459-nucleotide ribosomal RNA is filed under the name uncultured bacterium. RNAcentral's name for it is "partial 16S ribosomal RNA". It matches the Rfam family "Bacterial small subunit ribosomal RNA", at positions 338 to 795 of the family's 1533-position model. The record is from RNAcentral.